This 519-nucleotide ribosomal RNA is filed under the name uncultured Pasteurellaceae bacterium. RNAcentral's name for it is "partial 16S ribosomal RNA". Lineage: Bacteria; Pseudomonadati; Pseudomonadota; Gammaproteobacteria; Pasteurellales; Pasteurellaceae. The record is from RNAcentral.
CACGGAGUUAGCCGGUGCUUCUUCUGUGGCUAACAUCAAUCGUUGUAUCUAUUAAAUACAACGCCUUUCUCACCACUGAAAGAACUUUACAACCCUAAGGCCUUCUUCAUUCACGCGGCAUGGCUGCGUCAGGGUUUCCCCCAUUGCGCAAUAUUCCCCACUGCUGCCUCCCGUAGGAGUCUGGGCCGUGUCUCAGUCCCAGUGUGACUGGUCAUCCUCUCAAACCAGUUAGAGAUCGACGGCUUGGUAGGCCAUUACCCUACCAACUACCUAAUCUCACUUGGGUUCAUCUCUUGGCAUCUGGCCCGAAGGUCCCAGACUUUAAUCCGAAGAUAUUACGCGGUAUUAGCUACAGUUUCCCGUAGUUAUCCCCCACCAAAAGGUGAUCCCCAAGCAUUACUCACCCGUCCGCCACUCGACGCCUAAAAAUCCACCGAAGCUUCUUUUUUAUCGUUUCCGUUCGUACUUGCAUGUGUUAAGCCUGCCGCCAGCGUUCAAUCUGAGCCAGGAUCAAACUCU